GCAGUGGUGGUUCGGUGGUAGAAUUAUCACCUUCCAUGUGGGAGACCUGGGCUCAAUUCCUGACCAAUGCU
This 71-nucleotide transfer RNA is filed under the name Loxodonta africana (African savanna elephant). It matches the Rfam family "tRNA". From Rfam's summary of the family: Transfer RNA (tRNA) molecules are approximately 80 nucleotides in length. Their secondary structure includes four short double-helical elements and three loops (D, anti-codon, and T loops). Further hydrogen bonds mediate the characteristic L-shaped molecular structure. tRNAs have two regions of fundamental functional importance: the anti-codon, which is responsible for specific mRNA codon recognition, and the 3' end, to which the tRNAs corresponding amino acid is attached (by aminoacyl-tRNA synthetases). tRNAs cope with the degeneracy of the genetic code in two manners: having more than one tRNA (with a specific anti-codon) for a particular amino acid; and 'wobble' base-pairing, i.e. permitting non-standard base-pairing at the 3rd anti-codon position. The record is from Rfam by way of RNAcentral. Lineage: Eukaryota; Metazoa; Chordata; Mammalia; Proboscidea; Elephantidae.